GGUUAAGCGACUAAGCGUACACGGUGGAUGCCCUGGCAGUCAGAGGCGAUGAAGGACGUGCUAAUCUGCGAUAAGCGUCGGUAAGGUGAUAUGAACCGUUAUAACCGGCGAUUUCCGAAUGGGGAAACCCAGUGUGAUUCGUCACACUAUCAUUAACUGAAUCCAUAGGUUAAUGAGGCGAACCGGGGGAACUGAAACAUCUAAGUACCCCGAGGAAAAGAAAUCAACCGAGAUUCCCCCAGUAGCGGCGAGCGAACGGGGAGCAGCCCAGAGCCUGAAUCAGUGUGUGUGUUAGUGGAAGCGUCUGGAAAGGCGCGCGAUACAGGGUGACAGCCCCGUACACAAAAAUACACAUACUGUGAGCUCGAUGAGUAGGGCGGGACACGUGGUAUCCUGUCUGAAUAUGGGGGGACCAUCCUCCAAGGCUAAAUACUCCUGACUGACCGAUAGUGAACCAGUACCGUGAGGGAAAGGCGAAAAGAACCCCGGCGAGGGGAGUGAAAAAGAACCUGAAACCGUGUACGUACAAGCAGUGGGAGCACAGAGCAAUCUGUGUGACUGCGUACCUUUUGUAUAAUGGGUCAGCGACUUAUAUUCUGUAGCAAGGUUAACCGAAUAGGGGAGCCGAAGGGAAACCGAGUCUUAACUGGGCGUUAAGUUGCAGGGUAUAGACCCGAAACCCGGUGAUCUAGCCAUGGGCAGGUUGAAGGUUGGGUAACACUAACUGGAGGACCGAACCGACUAAUGUUGAAAAAUUAGCGGAUGACUUGUGGCUGGGGGUGAAAGGCCAAUCAAACCGGGAGAUAGCUGGUUCUCCCCGAAAGCUAUUUAGGUAGCGCCUCGUGAAUUCAUCUCCGGGGGUAGAGCACUGUUUCGGCAAGGGGGUCAUCCCGACUUACCAACCCGAUGCAAACUGCGAAUACCGGAGAAUGUUAUCACGGGAGACACACGGCGGGUGCUAACGUCCGUCGUGAAGAGGGAAACAACCCAGACCGCCAGCUAAGGUCCCAAAGUCAUGGUUAAGUGGGAAACGAUGUGGGAAGGCCCAGACAGCCAGGAUGUUGGCUUAGAAGCAGCCAUCAUUUAAAGAAAGCGUAAUAGCUCACUGGUCGAGUCGGCCUGCGCGGAAGAUGUAACGGGGCUAAACCAUGCACCGAAGCUGCGGCAGCGACACUAUGUGUUGUUGGGUAGGGGAGCGUUCUGUAAGCCUGUGAAGGUGUACUGUGAGGUAUGCUGGAGGUAUCAGAAGUGCGAAUGCUGACAUAAGUAACGAUAAAGCGGGUGAAAAGCCCGCUCGCCGGAAGACCAAGGGUUCCUGUCCAACGUUAAUCGGGGCAGGGUGAGUCGACCCCUAAGGCGAGGCCGAAAGGCGUAGUCGAUGGGAAACAGGUUAAUAUUCCUGUACUUGGUGUUACUGCGAAGGGGGGACGGAGAAGGCUAUGUUGGCCGGGCGACGGUUGUCCCGGUUUAAGCGUGUAGGCUGGUUUUCCAGGCAAAUCCGGAAAAUCAAGGCUGAGGCGUGAUGACGAGGCACUACGGUGCUGAAGCAACAAAUGCCCUGCUUCCAGGAAAAGCCUCUAAGCAUCAGGUAACAUCAAAUCGUACCCCAAACCGACACAGGUGGUCAGGUAGAGAAUACCAAGGCGCUUGAGAGAACUCGGGUGAAGGAACUAGGCAAAAUGGUGCCGUAACUUCGGGAGAAGGCACGCUGAUAUGUAGGUGAAGUCCCUCGCGGAUGGAGCUGAAAUCAGUCGAAGAUACCAGCUGGCUGCAACUGUUUAUUAAAAACACAGCACUGUGCAAACACGAAAGUGGACGUAUACGGUGUGACGCCUGCCCGGUGCCGGAAGGUUAAUUGAUGGGGUCAGCGCAAGCGAAGCUCUUGAUCGAAGCCCCGGUAAACGGCGGCCGUAACUAUAACGGUCCUAAGGUAGCGAAAUUCCUUGUCGGGUAAGUUCCGACCUGCACGAAUGGCGUAAUGAUGGCCAGGCUGUCUCCACCCGAGACUCAGUGAAAUUGAACUCGCUGUGAAGAUGCAGUGUACCCGCGGCAAGACGGAAAGACCCCGUGAACCUUUACUAUAGCUUGACACUGAACAUUGAGCCUUGAUGUGUAGGAUAGGUGGGAGGCUUGGAAGUGUGGACGCCAGUCUGCAUGGAGCCGACCUUGAAAUACCACCCUUUAAUGUUUGAUGUUCUAACGUUGACCCGUAAUCCGGGUUGCGGACAGUGUCUGGUGGGUAGUUUGACUGGGGCGGUCUCCUCCUAAAGAGUAACGGAGGAGCACGAAGGUUGGCUAAUCCUGGUCGGACAUCAGGAGGUUAGUGCAAUGGCAUAAGCCAGCUUGACUGCGAGCGUGACGGCGCGAGCAGGUGCGAAAGCAGGUCAUAGUGAUCCGGUGGUUCUGAAUGGAAGGGCCAUCGCUCAACGGAUAAAAGGUACUCCGGGGAUAACAGGCUGAUACCGCCCAAGAGUUCAUAUCGACGGCGGUGUUUGGCACCUCGAUGUCGGCUCAUCACAUCCUGGGGCUGAAGUAGGUCCCAAGGGUAUGGCUGUUCGCCAUUUAAAGUGGUACGCGAGCUGGGUUUAGAACGUCGUGAGACAGUUCGGUCCCUAUCUGCCGUGGGCGCUGGAGAACUGAGGGGGGCUGCUCCUAGUACGAGAGGACCGGAGUGGACGCAUCACUGGUGUUCGGGUUGUCAUGCCAAUGGCACUGCCCGGUAGCUAAAUGCGGAAGAGAUAAGUGCUGAAAGCAUCUAAGCACGAAACUUGCCCCGAGAUGAGUUCUCCCUGACUCCUUGAGAGUCCUGAAGGAACGUUGAAGACGACGACGUUGAUAGGCCGGAUGUGUAAGCGCAGCGAUGCGUUGAGCUAACCGGUACUAAUGAACCGUGAGGCUUAACCUU
Molecule: ribosomal RNA, 2905 nt
Filed under: Escherichia coli
Lineage: Bacteria; Pseudomonadati; Pseudomonadota; Gammaproteobacteria; Enterobacterales; Enterobacteriaceae
Description: 23S ribosomal RNA
Rfam family: Bacterial large subunit ribosomal RNA
Source: RNAcentral